RNAcentral lists this non-coding RNA (1282 nucleotides) under Streptomyces afghaniensis 772. Its description in RNAcentral is "Bacterial large subunit ribosomal RNA". It matches the Rfam family "Bacterial large subunit ribosomal RNA", at positions 1 to 1222 of the family's 2925-position model. Lineage: Bacteria; Bacillati; Actinomycetota; Actinomycetes; Kitasatosporales; Streptomycetaceae. The record is from Rfam by way of RNAcentral.
GGCCAAGUUUUUAAGGGCGCACGGUGGAUGCCUUGGCACCAGGAACCGAUGAAGGACGUGGGAGGCCACGAUAGUCCCCGGGGAGUCGUCAACCAGGCUUUGAUCCGGGGGUUUCCGAAUGGGGAAACCCGGCAGUCGUCAUGGGCUGUCACCCGCUGCUGAACACAUAGGCAGUGUGGAGGGAACGCGGGGAAGUGAAACAUCUCAGUACCCGCAGGAAGAGAAAACAACCGUGAUUCCGGGAGUAGUGGCGAGCGAAACCGGAUGAGGCCAAACCGUAUGCGUGUGAGACCCGGCAGGGGUUGCGUAUACGGGGUUGUGGGAUCUCUCUUUCACGGUCUGCCGGCCGUGAGACGAGUCAGAAACCGUUGAUGUAGGCGAAGGACAUGCGAAAGGUCCGGCGUAGAGGGUAAGACCCCCGUAGUCGAAACGUCAGCGGCUCGUUUGAGAGACACCCAAGUAGCACGGGGCCCGAGAAAUCCCGUGUGAAUCUGGCGGGACCACCCGCUAAGCCUAAAUAUUCCCUGGUGACCGAUAGCGGAUAGUACCGUGAGGGAAUGGUGAAAAGUACCGCGGGAGCGGAGUGAAAUAGUACCUGAAACCGUGUGCCUACAAGCCGUGGGAGCGUCGGAUGGAAGCUUGCUUCCAUCUCGUGACUGCGUGCCUUUUGAAGAAUGAGCCUGCGAGUUUGCGGUGUGUUGCGAGGUUAACCCGGGUGGGGAAGCCGUAGCGAAAGCGAGUCCGAAUAGGGCGUUUCAGUAGCACGCUCAAGACCCGAAGCGGAGUGAUCUAGCCAUGGGCAGGUUGAAGCGGAGGUAAGACUUCGUGGAGGACCGAACCCACCAGGGUUGAAAACCUGGGGGAUGACCUGUGGUUAGGGGUGAAAGGCCAAUCAAACUCCGUGAUAGCUGGUUCUCCCCGAAAUGCAUUUAGGUGCAGACGUCGUGUGUUUCUUGCCGAGGUAGAGCACUGGAUAGGCGAUGGGCCUACCGGGUUACUGACCUUAGCCAAACUCCGAAUGCCGGUAAGUGAGAGCGCGGCAGUGAGACUGUGGGGAGUAAGCUCCAUGGUCGAGAGGGAAACAGCCCAGAGCAUUGACUAAGGCCCCUAAGCGUACGCUAAGUGGGAAAGGAUGUGGAGUCGCACAGACAACCAGGAGGUUGGCUUAGAAGCAGCCACCCUUGAAAGAGUGCGUAAUAGCUCACUGGUCUAGUGAUUCCGCGCCGACAAUGUAGCGGGGCUCAAGCGUACCGCCGAAGUCGUGUCAUUGCAGCAAUACGGC